RNAcentral lists this ribosomal RNA (497 nucleotides) under uncultured bacterium. Its description in RNAcentral is "partial 16S ribosomal RNA". It matches the Rfam family "Bacterial small subunit ribosomal RNA", at positions 28 to 507 of the family's 1533-position model. The record is from RNAcentral.
GAUGAACGCUGGCGGCGUGCCUAAUACAUGCAAGUCGAGCGAACGGACGAGAAGCUUGCUUCUCUGAUGUUAGCGGCGGACGGGUGAGUAACACGUGGAUAACCUACCUAUAAGACUGGGAUAACUUCGGGAAACCGGAGCUAAUACCGGAUGAUAUUUUGAACCGCAUGGUUCAAAAGUGAAAGACGGUCUUGCUGUCACUUAUAGAUGGAUCCGCGCUGCAUUAGCUAGUUGGUAAGGUAACGACUUACCAAGGCAACGAUGCAAAGCCGACCUGAGAGGGUGAUCGGCCACACUGGAACUGAGACACGGUCCAGACUCCUACGGGAGGCAGCAGUAGGGAAUCUUCCGCAAUGGGCGAAAGCCUGACGGAGCAACGCCGCGUGAGUGAUGAAGGUCUUCGGAUCGUAAAACUCUGUUAUUAGGGAAGAACAUAUGUGUAAGUAACUGUGCACAUCUUGACGGUACCUAAUCAGAAAGCCACGGCUAACUACGUG